Molecule: ribosomal RNA, 467 nt
Filed under: uncultured bacterium
Lineage: Bacteria
Description: partial 16S ribosomal RNA
Rfam family: Bacterial small subunit ribosomal RNA
Source: RNAcentral
GACGAACGCUGGCGGCGUGCUUAACACAUGCAAGUCGAACGGAAAGGCCUCUUUCGGGGGGUACUCGAGUGGCGAACGGGUGAGUAACACGUGAGUAACCUGCCCUUGACUUUGGGAUAACUUCAGGAAACUGGGGCUAAUACCGGAUAGGAGCUCCUGCUGCAUGGUGGGGGUUGGAAAGUUUCGGCGGUUGGGGAUGGACUCGCGGCUUAUCAGCUUGUUGGUGGGGUAGUGCCUUACCAAGGCUUUGACGGGUAGCCGGCCUGAGAGGGUGACCGGCCACAUUGGGACUGAGAUACGGCACAGACUCCUACGGGAGGCAGCAGUGGGGAAUAUUGCACAAUGGGUGGAAGCCUGAUGCAGCAACGCCGUGUGCGGGAUGACGGACUUCGGGUUGUAAACCGCUUUCGCUCAUGACGAAGCUUUGUGUGACGGUAGUGGGUAAAGAAGCACCGGCUAACUACGUA